UGGGGAAUUUUGGACAAUGGGCGAAAGCCUGAUCCAGCAAUGCCGCGUGUGUGAAGAAGGCCUUCGGGUUGUAAAGCACUUUUGUCCGGAAAGAAAUCCUUGGCUCUAAUACAGUCGGGGGAUGACGGUACCGGAAGAAUAAGCACCGGCUAACUACGUGCCAGCAGCCGCGGUAAUACGUAGGGUGCAAGCGUUAAUCGGAAUUACUGGGCGUAAAGCGUGCGCAGGCGGUUUGCUAAGACCGAUGUGAGAUCCCCGGGCUCAACCUGGGAACUGCAUCGGUGACUGGCAGGCUAGAGUAUGGCAGAGGGGGGUAGAAUUCCACGUGUAGCAGUGAAAUGCGUAGAGAUGUGGAGGAAUACCGAUGGCGAAGGCAGCCCCCUGGGCCAAUACUGACGCUCAUGCACGAAAGCGUGGGGAGCAAACAGGAUUAGAUACCCUGGUAGUCCACGCCCUAAAACGAUGUCAACUAGUUGUUGGGGAUUCAUUUCCUUAGUAACGUAGCUAACGCGUGAAGUUGACCGCCUGGGGAGUACGGUCGCAAGAUUAAAACUUAAAUGAAUUG
This 565-nucleotide ribosomal RNA is filed under the name uncultured bacterium. RNAcentral's name for it is "partial 16S ribosomal RNA". It matches the Rfam family "Bacterial small subunit ribosomal RNA", at positions 355 to 912 of the family's 1533-position model. The record is from RNAcentral.